Molecule: long non-coding RNA, 5752 nt
Filed under: Triticum aestivum (bread wheat)
Lineage: Eukaryota; Viridiplantae; Streptophyta; Magnoliopsida; Poales; Poaceae
Description: long non-coding RNA (TAES_LNC019353)
Source: RNAcentral
ACACAUCUCUCUCCCUCAUCCCUCCUUCUCCAUCACCGGCCGCCGCCGCGGCCAGGCCGGCGUGGCGGCUCGCCAUCCAUCCACCAGCAACACCAUCGCCUCCAGCCGCCACUCCACCCCGCACCACCAGCACCACCCCAUCCAUUCGAGCGCCACCACCAACACCCACGCUCCAGAUCGAAGAAAGGAGCGGCGCGACCCACCAGACAGCACGUCUGGGUACCCGCGCCCCUGCUGUUGCUCUUCUAUCUUCCCUCGCCUUGCUGCUGCUCCUCCACUUCUCAACUCAAACCUGCUGCUGCUUAUUCUUCCCGCGUCCCCGCUGCUGCUCUUCUUGCGCCUCUGCUGCUUUCCUCUUCUUCUCUUAACCCUGCCGCUGCCCUUCUUCUUUCCUGAAACCUGCUGCUGCACUUUUCUCUGAACCUUAACUUGUUGCUGCCACUUCUUCUUCUCUGAACCCAACGCUGCUGCUGCUCCCUUCUUGCCCAUGCCUCUGCUGCUGCCUCUCUUCUCCUACACCUUUUGCUGCUGCCAUCUCUCUCUCUCUCUCUCUCUCUCUCUCUCUCUCUCNNNNNNNNNNNNNNNNNNNNNNNNNNNNNNNNNNNNNNNNNNNNNNNNNNNNNNNNNNNNNNNNNNNNNNNNNNNNNNNNNNNNNNNNNNNNNNNNNNNNNNNNNNNNNNNNNNNNNNNNNNNNNNNNNNNNNNNNNNNNNNNNNNNNNNNNNNNNNNNNNNNNNNNNNNNNNNNNNNAUAUUCUGUAAUUUGAGAAGUAAGAAGCUUUGUAAUAUUCAGAUUCUAUAAGUGUCUGUAAUCUGCUAUAUGUUCAGUUCGUACUUGUCAUGUGUUAAUUAGUAUUCUGCUACUGUAUGUGUGAGAUCCCUUAUGUGUUUGUUCCUUACUGCAGAAAUUUAUUCAGUUGUCCAUGUGUUAGCUCCAGUACAUGUGCUAUAUAAAUACAUGUGUGUUUUGUGAUGUAAACCAUGUCAGCUAGCUCACUAUAACAAAUUCAUGUUACUAUUUAUGAUGUAAACCAUGUCAGUUGUGUGAUCAUUCAAUUUUCAGUCUAUGUAUUAGCUCUGUACCUGUAAUAUAUGUUGUGACAUGAAGCAUUUUCAUCCCUGUCCAUUAUCUUGUUUCUUCCCUCUGUCAUAUGCUUGUUAGAUAAAUAUAUGUGUUCAUGUCCUGUUGUUUCCUUUUGUGUUAGCAUUUUUGUAAUAGGAAAACACCAAAAAGACAAUAUAGACAAUCUGAACCUCCCCUUUGCUUAUUUUGCAUUUUCUUUGGCGGCGAUCUUCAGGAAUAACCUUGUUAGUUUAGGUUUUAUUUUCCGCUUUCAUCACCCAAUAUCGUGUUACCUAGCUUUAGCCGAAUAUAGUUGCUGUCGCCUAGUCCCCGUGGAGAACACGACACUCGCAGUUCGGGCGAAAUAUCCCGCUGUACUUACAAUUGAUCAUUUUGGCGCCGUUGCCGGGGACUAGCGUCGAGCGAUUAUGUUGGCUAUAGACUAGGUUUAUUUUAGUUCCGUGUUUAAUCCGUCGUGUAUUUCAUUUUCUGUGUUUCUUUUCUUUUAUUUUCUUUUCCUUGCUGUUGCUUCGGCUUAUUAGGAUACUAACCUUCUAACUAGUGUUUACUGUUUAUGAGUGUGCAUAGGAAAUCUGAACUAUUUACAGGUUGAUUGAUAGUUACACUUGGUGGAGAUAUGGCGAUGCUUCGUGAUGUUUGGAUGCCCAAAAGUCAGUGCUAUAUCACAGGACCGAUUUGGCCAACUAUUGAGGCAGAGAACUUCGAGCUGAAACCUAGUCUUAUUGCUUUGGUUCAACAACAACAGUUUGGAGGACUGCCUACUGAGGAUCCCUAUGAGCACCUACACCGAGUCAUGGAGUAUUCAGGUACAGUCAAGUACCAUGGAGUUCCUCAAGAUGCUAUCAAGUGAAUGCUGUUCACAUUCUCUCUCCGAGAUGAUGCUCGUGCUUGGUAUCGAUCCUUGCCAUCAAGAUCAUUCAGUUGGAACAAGAUAUCACGAGCUUUCUUGGAUAAAUAUUUCCCACUACACAAGCAGUCUACAAUUCGAGAUGAGAUCUUCAGCUUCGUUCAGCGUGAAGGCGAGAGCUUGUAUGAUGCUUGGGAGAGAUACAAAGCCAUAUUCAGGAGAUGUCCUAAUCAUGGGCUUGAGAGGUGGUUAGAGCUGUAGAUAUUCUAUGGAGGAUUGACUCCGGACACUUGAGUUUAUGUCGAUAUGGCAGCGGGUGGAGCUAUUACAAACAAGACACUUGAUGAUGCUUUUCUGCUGAUUGAGAGCAUAGCUUUCGACCAACUUCAGUGGUACAAUGAGAAGCCCACCUCUGAUUCAUUGGUUUGCUUGCAACAAAUCACUACACCUCAGCCACCAAUUGUUACACAAAAGCCUGAACCUGCCCUUUGCUUAUUUUGCAUUUUCUUUGGCGGCGAUCUUCAGGAAUAACCUUGUUAGUUUAGGUUUUAUUUUCCGCUUUCAUCACCCAAUAUCGUGUUACCUAGCUUUAGCCGAAUAUAGUUGCUGUCGCCUAGUCCCUGUGGAGAACACGACACUCGCAGUUCGGGCGAAAUAUCCCGCUGUACUUACAAUUGAUCAUUUUGGCGCCAUUGUCGGGUAUCGAACCUGGGUCACCCGCGUGACAGGCGGGAAUACUUACCACUAUACUACAAUGACAAGAUUGAGCUUGCAUGGAUUAUCUUUGACGAUGAUGAUACCAUUCUAGUUGACACACACGCUACAGAUCAUAUGGAUACUAGUGUUGGAGAUUUAAUUUUGCAUUGUGAUGAUUCUUCCAUGGAUGAGCCAGAGCUGCAGUUAGUUGUUUUUGAUAUUGAGGAGUCACCUUUAGUUGAUAUUGAUCAUGUGCUGCUAGAGCCAGAUAUGGAGAAGUUCAGCUUCAAUGAUGUUAGCCGCAUUGAUUCCUCAACACUUGAGCCUGAGAUGGAGAGCUUCAUGGUUAAUUAUGAUGAGGUGGAUUCAGAUGUCAAGGAGCCAAGCUCUACUAUUUCACUUGUUGACACGAGUCCGGUGGAAAUUUCUACAACCACACCUCACUUGGUAUCUUCAAUUGAGGUAGCCCUGAAGCUUCUUCCUAACUAUCUCAGGUAUUAUCUCAGCUUUCUGGACAAGUUAUGUCAUAUCGCUGAUAUUGCCUAUGCACCAUGUGACUUGUUGAUACAUGUUCCUGAUUUGCUCAAUAGAUAUACUUAUAUGAUAGGGUACUCUAUCGAUGACUUAGAGGGCAUUCUCUCUGUCACUUGUAUUGGCUUGCUUGUUGAGUGUUCUUUCAGGUUGAUGCUUGUGCACCAUUUACUGCGAGUUGACCGAGUUCGAGAUGACAUUCCCUGGGACCCCGGUGGAUUCACGGCAUGGUGAUGAGGAGAAGCAAUGGGCACACGCGAAGAAGAGUGAAGCUGGAGCAGGCAUGAGGAUAGAGAAGCAAAAAGAGAAGAGCUGCAGUUUAGAGGGUGUCGAGCCAGUGCUACUUCCUAUAUAAACCCGGUGAGCUGUUUCAUGUCCCCAAUCUGAAUAUAUCAUCCAUUGAUACAUGCUGAAAUCAAUUGCUAUUUGGGUUGCUUAGCCAUUUCUUAAACGUUGUCCCACUGAAUUUACCUUUGACUUAUGGUGCUUGAUGUGAAUAUGUAAACUGAUUUGUGGAUGCCUUGUAAACUAGUGAUCUACAUACUACUUGCUUUGCUGAAAUUAGUGAAAAUUAUUAGUUUUGAGUGCUCAAAUCCCUAGUACACUAGAAAACUUAAAUCAUUUUCUGCUCUUACCUUGAUACACCUAGAUCAUUAAGUGUCAGAUGCUGAGUUUGUGCCUAAUGUGUUCCCAUUCAGAGCAAUCACUCACCACUAUGGACUAGCAUGCUAUGUUCCCUGGAUCGGUAGUAUGUGAACCAGACCUAGAUGAGUGAUGAUUUUUGUUUCCUUUUUGUAUUCAUUUGUUAAAUAAGUAAUGAUAAAUAAAUAAGUCUGACUACCUACAGUAGCAUGUCAUGUUCCCUGGAUCGGUGGCAUGUGAAAUCGGGUUAGCUUGGGCAGUAAUUACUAAUAAAAAUUGUAAUUGUCGAACCAGGUGUAUACCAUGUUCUCUGGAUCGGUGGUAUGCUCCUUUGGGGAGACAAACAAAAAAACUAACUAAUAAUUGGUCGAGGUCGAGCCAGGUGUAUACCAUGUUCUCGGGAUCGGUGGUAUGUUCCUUUGGUGAGACCGAUAAAAUAUUAUCAUUGCUUCCUUCAAAUUCAAUAAGUGGUUCAACCACAAUGUUCCUGGUAAUAAGUGAUCUGAUCACAAGUUUAAAUUCUUUUUGUUUUUUGGAUCAUGCUCUCUUUAGGAAACUUUUGGCACAAUCAGCAUUUGAAUUUGUUGAUCCACUUUUAUCAUUGUAAAAGUUCAAAAUGAUUGAGUCUACUAGCAUCCUAUUGCUUUGUAGUACCCUAACCAUUAAUUUUCACUAACUUAGUCUGAAGCAUGCAUUGUUUAGAGAUCUACUUCACUUGGACACUCCCUAAUCAGCUCACUGUUCAUACUCUUGCUCUUGUCAUGUGCCUUUACUUGAGGACAAGUAGAGAUUUAAGUGCGGGGGAACUUGAUAAGCACAUUUCUUAUAUACAAUUUGGGCACACAAAUUCACCAUUUAUUAAGAUAUGUCUAUUGUUUCUUGCUUAGGAUUGUCGAAUAUUCAAAUGAUAUUCACAAAAGAGGUUGUGACUAGUUGUUUGCUUAUUUUGCAGAAAAGUGCGCCAAAGGCACUAUAAACUACAAGAUUCUACCUAGGAAGAACUGAGGAACAAUCUAAGGGCUGGAACAGGAGAAAGAGUGACCCAAGUGUGACGAAGAUUAUAUUUCCAGGGAGCUAACUAAAGAAGAGGAGGGAUCAUCUUGUGAUGAAAGAAGAGAAGUAGGAGGGCCAAAAUGCAAAAGGUGCAGAUGAGAGCAGGGGAACAAAAUCCCUAGAUCGCCUCCAUUCCCCAUCGGGCCUGGCACACAUCUCUCUCCCUCAUCCCUCCUUCUCCAUCACCGGCCGCCGCCGCGGCCAGGCCGGCGUGGCGGCUCACCAUCCAUCCACCAGCAACACCAUCGCCUCCAGCCGCCACUCCACCCCGCACCACCAGCACCACCCCAUCCAUUCGAGCGCCACCACCAACACCCACGCUCCAGAUCGAAGAAAGGAGCGGCGCGACCCACCAGACAGCACGUCUGGGUACUCGCGCCCCUGCUGUUGCUCUUCUAUCUUCCCUCGCCUUGCUGCUGCUCCUCCACUUCUCAACUCAAACCUGCUGCUGCUUAUUCUUCCCGCGUCCCUGGUGCUGCUCUUCUUGCGCCUCUGCUGCUUACCUCUUCUUCUCUUAACCCUGCCGCUGCCCUUCUUCUUUCUUGAAACCUGCUGCUGCACUUUUCUCUGAACCUUAACUUGUUGCUGCCACUUCUUCUUCUCUGAACCCAACGCUGCUGCUGAAACCCUUCUCCCAUCUAGGGGGAAGGUAAAGGAAGAAGAAGGAGAAGGGGGGCUCUCUCCCCCUCUGUCCCGGUGGCGCCUGAACACCGCUGGGGCCAUCAUCAUGACCGCGAUCUACACCAACAAUUUCACCACCGUCAUCACCAACUCUCUCCCCCUCUAUGCAGCGGUGUAGCACCUCUUCUCCCCGCUGUACUUAAACAUGGUGCUCAACGCUAUAUAUUAUUUCCCAAUGAUGUAUGGCUAUCCUAUGAUGUUUGAGUAGAUCCGUUUUGUCC